GUGUCAGCAGCCGCGGUAAUACGUAGGGUCCGAGCGUUGUCCGGAAUUAUUGGGCGUAAAGGGCUUGUAGGCGGUUUGUCACGUCGGAAGUGAAAACUCAGGGCUUAACCCUGAGCCUGCUUCCGAUACGGGCAAACUAGAGGGAUGCAGGGGAGAAUGGAAUUCCUGGUGGAGCGGUGGAAUGCGCAGAUAUCAGGAGGAACACCGGUGGCGAAGGCGGUUCUCUGGGCAUUUCCUGACGCUGAGAAGCGAAAGCGUGGGGAGCAAACAGGCUUAGAUACCCUGGUAGUCC
RNAcentral lists this ribosomal RNA (292 nucleotides) under uncultured bacterium. RNAcentral describes it as "partial 16S ribosomal RNA". It matches the Rfam family "Bacterial small subunit ribosomal RNA", at positions 505 to 796 of the family's 1533-position model. The record is from RNAcentral.